RNAcentral lists this ribosomal RNA (253 nucleotides) under uncultured bacterium. Its description in RNAcentral is "partial 16S ribosomal RNA". It matches the Rfam family "Bacterial small subunit ribosomal RNA", at positions 524 to 776 of the family's 1533-position model. The record is from RNAcentral.
UACGAAGGGGGCUAGCGUUGCUCGGAAUUACUGGGCGUAAAGGGCGCGUAGGCGGCACUGUUAGUCAGGCGUGAAAGUCCUGGGCUCAACCUGGGAACUGCGCUUGAUACGGCAGAGCUAGAGGAUGGAAGAGGCUCGCGGAAUUCCCAGUGUAGAGGUGAAAUUCGUAGAUAUUGGGAAGAACACCGGUGGCGAAGGCGGCGAGCUGGUCCAUUACUGACGCUGAGGCGCGACAGCGUGGGGAGCAAAAGGG